CCUGUUUGUUUGCUUGGCAGAGAGCGGAGCACACCCUCUUUCCUGAGUUCACGAUGGCGAGCAGCAGCCCAGAACUCCCCGUGACCGAAGCACGAGCCUCCAUUGUGCGCAUGAUCCGCAAGAACAAAGCCGUCAUCGUCGUUGGCGAGACCGGAUCGGGCAAGACGACGCAGAUUCCGCAGUACGUGUGGGACGAUAUCCUGAGUAAGCGGCCUGGUGGUGGCAUAGUAGGGUGCACGCAGCCGCGCCGUGUCGCGGCCGUCAGCAUUGCACGGCACGUUGCUCGGCAACGCGGCGGAAAAGUCGGCGGCGAAGUGGCCUACGCUGUCCGCUUCGAUGACACGUGCACCAGCGCCACACGCAUCAAGUUUCUCACGGACGGCAUUCUGCUGCGUGAGAUUCAGGCUGACCCUGUGCUGUCUAAGUACGGCUGCAUCAUCCUCGAUGAGGCCCACGAGCGCACGUUGCAUGGAGACGUGCUCUUUGGCCUGCUGAAGACGAUCGCGCGUCAGCGCGAGGACUCGCUGAAGAUCGUGGUCAUGUCCGCUACGCUGAACGCGGAGCACUUUUCGAAGUUUUGGUGGGACGCCCCAAUCGGCGUCGUGCAUGGCCGCAUGUUUCCGGUGACCAUCAUGCACACGGUGGAGCCGCAGGCGGACUACGUCGAGGCAGCUAUUAGCGCCAUCCUGCUGAUCCACCAGACGGAGCCGCCUGGCGAUGUUCUGUGUUUCCUGACGGGUCAGGAAGAAGUCGAGGACGCGAAGCGCAUUCUGCUGGAGCGCAUGAAGCUGCUGCCCAACGACGUGCCGGACUUCUCAGUUCUGACCCUGUACGCCGCGAUGCCGUACGAGCAGCAGCUGCUUGUCUUUGAGCCAAGCCUGAACGAGCAGCGCAAGGUGAUCCUCGCCACCAACAUCGCUGAGACAUCCAUCACGGUGGAGGGUAUCCGCUACGUCGUGGACAGCGGCGUGGUGAAGGCGAAGUACUACAAUAGCAAGUCCGGGAUGGAGAUGCUGACGGAGGUGGACAUCAGCCGCGCGCAGGCCACGCAGCGCACGGGGCGCGCCGGUCGCGUGGCAGCUGGCAAGUGCUACCGCCUCUACACCGCCAACGCGUUUGAGAAUCUGAGCGAGAACACGAUUCCAGAAAUACGCCGAAGUAGUUUGCUCAGCGUUGUGCUUCAAAUGAAAAGCCUCCACAUCCACAAUAUCCUUGCGUUCGAAUUCAUGGACAUGCCUCGCCCGCGCGCUGUCGCGAAGGCGGAAGAGACGCUGAUGCUGCUGCAAGCCCUCGACAAGGCGGGCCACAUCACGGCCCUGGGCGCCCGUCUGACGGACUUUCCGAUUGAACCGAUGCCCGCGAUGGUUCUCUUGGCCGCGAAGGCCUUCGGCGUUGCCCGUGAGGCUGUUAUCGUGAUUGCCAUGGCCAGCACUGACAACCUCUUUCUCACCUCGCGCGAGUUCAAGGAGUCUGCUGACCGCUGCCGCGCCGCCUUUGCCAAGUCUGCCGGCGAUCACGCGACGCUCCUUAGCAUCUACCAGGCGUACUGCCGCUCGCCGCGCGACCAGCGCAAGACGUGGUGUGAGUCCAACGCCAUGAGCCACCGGCAAAUGCUAAAGGUCGAGGACGUCAUUACCCAGCUGCAAAGCAUUUUGGAAGAGAAGAACGACAGUGAGCUACUCGCCAAGAUUAUCCCCGCCUCUCUGCGGUACCUGCGAGUGGGCGCUGGUGGUGAUUUGUCUAAUCUGCCGCACAAGCGCCCCCGGGACGAAGGCGGUGAUGACGCCAGCGAUCUGCUGGAGCGCUACGAAGAGCUGCGGCACGGCGGCGGUGGGUUGUCUACCGGAUCAACCGAGCGCAAGGGGAAACUGCUUGACGCAGAACUGCUGCGUCGUGCUCUCUGUUUUGGCUACUUCCUGAACGCCGCCUUCUACAACGCGAAACUAGGCAUGUACCAGACCAUCGUUGGGCAGUUGCCGGUGUACAUCCACCCUUCCAGCGUCCUCUUUACCCACCGCAAGAAGCCUGCUUUGGUGAUCUUUAACAGCGUCGUGCGCACCACGAAGCGAUACAUGAAGGACGUGUCGGUGGUGCAAGAGGAGUGGCUGCAGGACGCCGCGCCAGAUUUUCUGACGGCGGCCUCGUAGCGCACGCUCGGCGGGUUCGGUGCACACGAAAUAUGCGCCUGCACGCCAUCCGUGUUGGCAAUGCCAACACGAUCGUCAAAGCGUUGUUGCAUGUUUGCCGGCGUCUGUGUCGCAGGCGCGCGGCGCGCACACACGGCGUGUGCGCAUUGGUGGCUGUGCUCUGCUCGUGUUGGUCUUCUGUUUUUUCUUUUUGUUUGUUUCGAUUAACACGCGUCUAAGACACUCGCAGAAAACAUCUUCUUUGGUCAAGGCAUCUGCUCGCUGCCACCGCCCAUGAGCUCAGCGCCACUCGAUUUCCCCCUCCCUCCCUCCCCCACGGCCGCUCCUCCCAUCAUGCCAGGUCGCCACGGGGUGCAUCCCCCUCGAGGUGGCCACUCCGGCUUCUCCAAACCGAGAGGUGGGGUAGGGGAGGGGCACCGGAGCGUGUGUGAUAUGCCACCACGCACUAAGGGGUGCGUCCCUUCCCCUCAUCCCCCGUCGUCAUUAUUGGAUGAGCAUAGCGCAGGGAGAAGGCGAACAGAAAAAAGAAAGAGGUCAAGUGCGCAGUGCUUGCCCAACCGAACAACGGGCACACGAAAAACAAGUUGAGGGCAAAAGCCUUGAUACAGUCGCUAAAAUAGAGCAUCAUGUCCUUUUUCUGGGUGUUCUGUGUUACGUGAAACCCACAGAGGCCGUGGCGCGGCCAUGGCAUCUCUUGUGUAUGUGUGUGUGUGUGUACAAGAGAGAG
Molecule: unclassified non-coding RNA, 2874 nt
Filed under: Leishmania donovani
Lineage: Eukaryota; Euglenozoa; Kinetoplastea; Trypanosomatida; Trypanosomatidae
Description: gene:LdHU3.36.7830(CDS-product:RNA_helicase_putat ive)
Source: RNAcentral